AAUAUUGCACAAUGGGGGAAACCCUGAUGCAGCGACGCCGCGUGAGCGAAGAAGGCCUUCGGGUCGUAAAGCCCUUUCACCGGUGAAGAUAAUGACGGUAACCGGAGAAGAAGCCCCGGCUAACUUCGUGCCAGCAGCCGCGGUAAUACGAAGGGGGCUAGCGUUGUUCGGAAUUACUGGGCGUAAAGCGCACGUAGGCGGAUCGGUCAGUUAGGGGUGAAAUCCCGGGGCUCAACCCCGGAACUGCCUUUAAUACUGCCGGUCUAGAGUCCGAGAGAGGUGAGUGGAAUUCCGAGUGUAGAGGUGAAAUUCGUAGAUAUUCGGAGGAACACCAGUGGCGAAGGCGGCUCACUGGCUCGGUACUGACGCUGAGGUGCGAAAGCGUGGGGAGCAAACA
This 397-nucleotide ribosomal RNA is filed under the name uncultured bacterium. RNAcentral's name for it is "partial 16S ribosomal RNA". It matches the Rfam family "Bacterial small subunit ribosomal RNA", at positions 360 to 774 of the family's 1533-position model. The record is from RNAcentral.